UAACAGAAUCACCAGAAGAACAAUCUCUAAA
This 31-nucleotide non-coding RNA is filed under the name Mus musculus (house mouse). Lineage: Eukaryota; Metazoa; Chordata; Mammalia; Rodentia; Muridae. The record is from RNAcentral.